Molecule: long non-coding RNA, 240 nt
Filed under: Vitis vinifera (wine grape)
Lineage: Eukaryota; Viridiplantae; Streptophyta; Magnoliopsida; Vitales; Vitaceae
Description: long non-coding RNA (VVIN_LNC002820)
Source: RNAcentral
CUGAAGUGCUUGAACCCCACAGUAGGCGAAAGAGUACUCAAGCCAUUUGGGAAGCUUAAAACUCUUGUGGGAAAGGUUCCUAUGAUAGGACAGCGUAAUACCCAAUAGACCAGUCACCGCAUAGAGGGCCAUGGCAAGCCAAAAGGCACUCCAGUUGAACACAAAAGGGGCGAAUACACUCAGAAAAUGCAUUGCCAAAAUAACUCCGGCUGUGCCCACAUCCAAAGAAUUCCACUUCCU